AAAGGGGGCUAUUUGAACGUGUGUGUGAAGAAUUAGGAUUAAAAGGGAAAAUACCCCCACCCAUUCAAAACGGCGCCGUCCGCAUAUUGGCCCUUCAGCAACACAAGGACUAAAUUAAAACCAUAAGCAAACUACGGGUCCAAAUCAAAAUGAACAUAGGGCCCCACUGAAACACGCUACAAAAGGGAGAGACUCAUUGCACAAAUAUACCCUCGAGGACCAAAACGCGCGGAUCUAUCCACAUAUGGGUCGGGUCAUCGGGUUAUGGCACCUGAACGGUACCGUUUUGGCCAUUAUAAUGCUAUGUUGAAACGGCACCGUUUCAAUGGGGUUAUAAAUACUUAAGAAAAUAAAAGAAAAUUUCAUUUUUUGACCUUCCUUAAAAAAAAACCACAAGAAAACCCUCUGAAAAGAGAGGAAUCGGUCCUCUGAGCGCCGAUCUAUAGCUGGCCGGGCUCCGAUCAUCGGACCGUCAUGCUCCGCCGUGCCCACCGCCGUGUGCGGUGGCCGACGCACACGAAAAAAGGCUCCUUUUUCCUUUUUAAACCCCCGAACCCGAAUAUGCCUUCAAAACCAACGACGAAACCUCCUAAAAUGUGAUAUGAACCGUAGACGAUUCGGAUUCCGACUCUGAUUUACCCCAAACAGGUAAAAGUUUCCUUUUCUAUUAUCUCUAUCUAUAUAUGCAGUAGAUUAGAAGCAAGAUAUACUGGAAAUAUACGAAAUAUACCUUUCAUUUUUGUAUUCAAAAAAAUGUGUAAAAAAAGAGGAACCACAAGAGUUACUGGCUUCGCUUUUUUUUAUAGCCGAAUGAAAAAAAUACACAGUAUUAUUCUUUUCUUUUGUUUCUGCGAUUGUUGUUGCGUGUUGGUGUUUGUUUCUUUCCCAUUUCGGUUCUUUUGCAAGUGUAGAAGGAAGUCAACGAGCGGGGGCUUCCCUUUUGGUGCAAGGGCUGUGCAGAGCCAUCCUCGAGCGCUGAGCUCGCUACGGAAGCACGUGGGGAGGCAGAGGGAGGUGCGGCGCUUAGGGUUGUCUAGGGUUUCGGCUUAGCCGAAACUAGUUUGGGCCUUGGGCAUAUUGGGCCAAUAAGGACCGGUUUGGUUUAGUGUUUUGGACCAGAGGGUCGUAGGUAUAGGUAUGGGUUGUUUGGGUUUGGUUCAAUUUGGGUUAAUGUGUAAAUGGACUUUUAUUUUGGACUUUUAAUAAGCUUUGGGUUUUAAUACAUCUUUGAUUUAUCUGUUUUUUUGUUUGAAAUUGGUUUGAGAUGGGUUUGAAAUGGUUUUGAACUGCCCCGGGCAUAUUUGGGCUCGCACAAUAAUUAUGGUAACAAUUAGAGCUUUAUUUAGAAAAGGUCAUGAUAUACUUAUAUUAGCAGUUCUAUUAGAUAAAAGAUUUGAAAAUCGAUAUAAGUAUUUAUUGGUGGUAUUCAGUCUAAUUUACACACUAAGGUAAUAGGAUUUAAAGUUAAACCAAACUAUUUUAUAUCCAUUACAGAUCCUCUAAUAGAAGAGUGUUUAUGUUUAAAAAAUCAGACAAAAAACUCUGAAAUUAACGAUUUAGCAGAAGAUCUGGCAAUAAGUUGGACUUCUAUUAA
Molecule: long non-coding RNA, 1594 nt
Filed under: Gossypium barbadense (sea-island cotton)
Lineage: Eukaryota; Viridiplantae; Streptophyta; Magnoliopsida; Malvales; Malvaceae
Description: long non-coding RNA (GBAR_LNC006860)
Source: RNAcentral